ACUCCUUUUAUCUGGGAAGGAACCAUUCCGACUUGUCGGAAUAUGACGGUAUUAGAGUAAUAAGCGACCAGCUAACCCGCGCCAGCAGCCGCGGUAAUACGGUGGAGGGUGCAAGCGUUAUCCGGAUUUACUGGGUUUAAAGGGUGUAGGCGACUUAUAAGUCAGUGGUGAAAAAGCUCGGAGCUGAACUCCGAACCGCCAAUAUUGAUACUGUUAGUCUUGAAUCGGUAGAGGUAGGCGGAAUGUACAUGUAGGCGGUGAAAUGGCGAUAUGUUAUAGUACACCGAUUUGAAGCAGCUUUGCUGUUGCCAAUAUUGACGUUGAGGCACGAAAGCGUGGGUAGCGAACAGGAUUAGAUAAUCUGGUAGUCCACGCCCCUAAACGAUGAUUACCUGACAUUAGCGAUAUACAGUUAGUAACCAAUGAAAGCGUUAAGUAAUCCACCUCGGGAGUACGUUCGCAAGAAUGCAAAACUCGUAUGAAUUGACUGGGUACUCGCACAAGCGGUGGAGUACAUGUGGUUUAAUUUGUGAUGCGCGAGGAACCUUACCAAGAUUGAAUGUUUGGACAGCUGCUGAAAGUAAAGAUUUUCUCUCGGAGACCUAUUGCAAGGUGUUGCAUGGUUGUCGUCAGCCCGCGCCGUGAGGUGUUGGGUUAAGUCCCGCAACGAGCGCAACCUCAUCUUUAGUUGCCAGCAUGUUAUGAUGGGGACUCUAAAGAAACCGUUUGCGUAAGCAGUGAGGAAGGGGGAUGACGUCAAAUCAUCACGGUCUUGAUAUCUUGGGUUACACACGUGCAAUGGCCGGUAUAGAGGGUCAAACACCGCGAGGUGGAGCCAAUUUCAUAAAGCCCGCCCCCAGUUGAUUGAGUCUGCACUGACUUCCACAUGAAGUUGGAAUCGCCAGUAAUCGCGUAUCAGCAAUGACGCGGUGAAUACGUUCCCUGACCUUGUACACACCGCCCGUCAAGCCAUGGGAGUUGGGGUGUGUACCUUAAGACGAUGACCGUAAGGAGUUGUCCGAGGUAAAACCGAUGACUGGGGCUAAGUCGAACAAGGUAGCCGUACCGAAGGUGCGCUGAAUACCUCCUUU
Molecule: ribosomal RNA, 1091 nt
Filed under: Bacteroidota bacterium
Lineage: Bacteria; Pseudomonadati; Bacteroidota
Description: bacterial SSU rRNA
Rfam family: Bacterial small subunit ribosomal RNA
Source: RNAcentral